This 292-nucleotide ribosomal RNA is filed under the name uncultured Bacteroidota bacterium. RNAcentral's name for it is "uncultured Bacteroidetes bacterium partial 16S ribosomal RNA". The record is from RNAcentral. Lineage: Bacteria; Pseudomonadati; Bacteroidota.
GGACUACUGGGGUUUCUAAUCCUGUUUGAUCCCCACGCUUUCGUGCAUCAGUGUCAAUAUUCGUGUAGCCAGCUGCCUUCGCAAUUGGUGUUCUAUGUCAUAUCUAAGCAUUUCACCGCUACAUGACAUAUUCCGCUGACCUCCACGGUAUUCAAGACAGAUAGUAUCAAUGGCAGUUUCCGAGUUAAGCCCGGAGAUUUCACCACUGACUUACCUGCCCACCUACGCACCCUUUAAACCCAGUGAAUCCGGAUAACGCUUGCACCCUCCGUAUUACCGCGGCUGCUGGCAC